AAUCUGUUGCAAGAACUUAAUGUUGCCAAUCUCAAACCAGCAUCAGUACGGAUUUAUGACUACUAUGAAACAGAUGAAACCGGUUUUGCUGAAUAUAAAUCCCCUUGUACUGCAGAAGUUCCUUGAGCCCUGUGGAAUUCUUGGAGGAACAAAGCUGCAUCCUGGCAAGAUAUUCCACAACCAGUCUAAGCAGCACAUGCAGGGGUGUGGUGAAUGGAGGCACAAGUUUACCACUGCAGAUGUCAUAGUAAGAGAUGAUUGUAGCAGUUCUGUACAAUAAAAUCACAUGACUAUUAAA
Candoia aspera is the source of this 298-nucleotide long non-coding RNA. RefSeq lists it as uncharacterized. The transcript has 3 exons. The record is from RefSeq and is a predicted model, not a curated record. Lineage: Eukaryota; Metazoa; Chordata; Lepidosauria; Squamata; Candoiidae.